GAUGAACGCUAGCUACAGGCUUAACACAUGCAAGUCGAGGGGCAUCAUUAUCGAAGCUUGCUUUGAUAGAUGGCGACCGGCGCACGGGUGAGUAACGCGUAUCCAACCUUCCCCUUACUAGGGAAUAGCCCGGCGAAAGUCGGAUUAAUGCCCUAUGUUCUCCUUUGCGGGCAUCUAACGAGGAGCAAAGAUUCAUCGGUAAGGGAUGGGGAUGCGUCUGAUUAGGCAGUCGGCGGGGUAACGGCCCACCGAGCCGACGAUCAGUAGGGGUUCUGAGAGGAAGGUCCCCCACAUUGGUACUGAGACACGGACCAAACUCC
RNAcentral lists this ribosomal RNA (320 nucleotides) under uncultured Prevotella sp. Its description in RNAcentral is "bacterial SSU rRNA". It matches the Rfam family "Bacterial small subunit ribosomal RNA", at positions 28 to 339 of the family's 1533-position model. Lineage: Bacteria; Pseudomonadati; Bacteroidota; Bacteroidia; Bacteroidales; Prevotellaceae. The record is from RNAcentral.